This 238-nucleotide ribosomal RNA is filed under the name uncultured bacterium. RNAcentral's name for it is "partial 16S ribosomal RNA". It matches the Rfam family "Bacterial small subunit ribosomal RNA", at positions 32 to 248 of the family's 1533-position model. The record is from RNAcentral.
AAUCAACGCUGGCGGCGUGCCUCAGACAUGCAAGUCGAACGCGAAAGUCCCCUUCGGGGGACGAAGUAGAGUGGCGCACGGGUGAGUAACACGUAGGUAAUCUACCUUCGGAUGGGGAGGUAACAACCGGAAACGGUUGCUAAUACCGCAUAAUGCAGCGGCACCUAAUGGUGACAAUUGUUAAAGCGGGGGAUCUAAGACCUCGCGUCUGAAGAGGAGCCUGCGGCGGAUUAGCUAG